GCCGAAAUAGCUUAGUUGGGAGAGCGUUAGGCUGAAGAUCUAAGGGUCUCUGGUUUUGUCCCGUGUUUUGGCA
Non-coding RNA from Gymnothorax javanicus (giant moray), 73 nucleotides. The record is from the annotation of a GenBank genome assembly. Lineage: Eukaryota; Metazoa; Chordata; Actinopteri; Anguilliformes; Muraenidae.